RNAcentral lists this transfer RNA (73 nucleotides) under Bos taurus (domestic cattle). It matches the Rfam family "tRNA". From Rfam's summary of the family: Transfer RNA (tRNA) molecules are approximately 80 nucleotides in length. Their secondary structure includes four short double-helical elements and three loops (D, anti-codon, and T loops). Lineage: Eukaryota; Metazoa; Chordata; Mammalia; Artiodactyla; Bovidae. RNAcentral also lists the same sequence under 5 other names. The record is from Rfam by way of RNAcentral.
UCCCUGGCUAUCUAGUGGUUAAGAUUCUGUGCUCCCAAUGCAGCUGGCACAGGUUCAACCCCUGGUCAGGGAA